Molecule: unclassified non-coding RNA, 200 nt
Filed under: Trechispora sp.
Lineage: Eukaryota; Fungi; Basidiomycota; Agaricomycetes; Trechisporales; Hydnodontaceae
Description: partial internal transcribed spacer 2
Source: RNAcentral
UUAAGUUCAGCGGGUAGUCCUACCUGAUUUGAGGUCAGAUUUCAAAAAGCUUGAUUGACCGCCCCCACUGGGAGGCAGGUCGAGGCAAGGCGCGGAAGGGGUCCGUCUCGUUCGAGCGAGGAUGGUACAACGCCCAGUCGAGUUCGACCCACAGGCCCAACCGAAGCAUUUGAGGGGAGCCGGCUCUCAUCGAGCGGCAG